Molecule: long non-coding RNA, 3628 nt
Organism: Scleropages formosus (Asian bonytongue)
Lineage: Eukaryota; Metazoa; Chordata; Actinopteri; Osteoglossiformes; Osteoglossidae
Source: Ensembl
AUGACAGAGACGUAAAUAUGAAGCGAACUAGACGCUGCGUAAACUGCGGGGAAUGGAUGAUGUUUUAUUUUUAACAUUUAGUAAUGUAGCCUACUCAUUUUGGGAUGGAUCUUGAUUAGACCUGGAUUGGUCUUUGGUCUGAUGUUGCUGAAAAGGUAGGAGUUUUACGCAAUAUGGUGUUUUUGAAAGGUUUAUAAAUUGUUUCUUUUUGUAUUGUUUCUGGAAAUCAAAAUUUCCAAGUAGAGAUGUCUUCAGAUUAUUAAAAAAAAAAAAAUACAUUUAUUAAUUUUAAUAGACUUUACUGGCAAAAUAUAUCUGUUAAAGGUUUCUGAGAUUAUUAAGUAAAUAUUUUUUUUAAAGAAAUCCAAAAAAAACGAGCUUUGCACUGGUAAGAACAGUAUUAGGUUGGUGUAACAGAUGGCAAGUGUAGUUAUUGUUGAAUUGUCCAUCUCAUCUGAAGGUUUUUCCCCUCUUUUGUCCUUAAGUCUUUUGCAAGGAGGGCUGCUAGCAGAACUGGCACAAAAAAGGAAGAAGAUGGACUUAAUCGAGAGGAGGCCCAACAAGUGGUGGACAGAGACAGACACUUUCACCAUGCUGGCCUUGAUCGAAGAGUUGGAUCUGGUGCAUGAACUAGAUAAGAAACGUCAGCGCAAUGAUUUACAUUUCCGCCGCUUGCGCCACAGUCUAGCAAAAAGAGAUAUCCAUUUCACUGUCAACCAGAUCCGCAACCGCUGGAAGAGUCUUAAACAUAAAUACCGUAAAAUCAAGACUGCAGGAUACCGCAGCCAUGCUGCUCGUCUCUCAGCCAUAGAGUCCUUUCGCUAUUUCAAGAAGCUGGAUUGUAUGCUUGCUCGGAGACCCAGGGUGUCUGGCCAGGUGGAGGAGACAACAGCAAGUCAUAACCUGGUGGUGGUCUCCAAUUCUGACCUGGAAGAUCAUACUGACAGUGAUAUUCCUCAGUCUUUCACCACUGUACACCGUCAGGCCACUCUUCUUCGACCAAAGGCAGAUAAUGAGGAAAGUAAAGGACCACCUGAGAACUCACUGGAUUUCAGGUCAACCAGUUUGGAUAUUGGGACAGAGGAGGUUGUGACUUUGGGAUUGUCAGGGGAAUACCUGUAUCCAGUGAAGACUGAACCACAUUUGUUUUCUUCCUUACGAGGACUAGAAAGCACGAGAGAUUCGUUAAGCUGCAGCCCAAGAAAUGUCUCAGGCACUUGUGAGGAUACCAGCAGCCUGAUUCUCCAGCAGCUCACAAUUCUCAACCACCAGCUGGAGGAGCAGCUUGCAGAGCAAAGGGCUUUCCAUUGUAGCAUGCUGGGCCUUAUGGAUCGACAGAUAGAAGUCCUGCAACAACUAUCGAAUACAACAAGGGAUCCCCCAGCAAAGGAAGCUCUUGGUGAACAGGAUCCUGCAAUUAACCAACAAGUUCAUAAUGCUCUGAUGCGCAUCCUUAAGGGUGUGGAGCAGGCCCAGGUACAGGGAUUUGCAGCCUUUCAAAAUAAACCCUCUACCUCUGAAACUAUUCCGCCAUCCUGGACGACUUCUCUGCUAGAGGGUCACAAUGCAUCUCCUCCAAGUGAUGAACACUUACUUUGUGAAACCUUGCCUGAACAGCCUCCAAAUGAAAGGGACUCUGUUCCCUCUGAUGCAACACUUCUUGAACAGCACAGCCCUUCAUCUAGAAAAUGUGCUGUAAUAAAUGGUUUGUCAAAUUUGUGCCAAAACAAGUGAGAUUAUCUGACAUCAGUAUUCUUGUAAUUAAUAAUUAUAGCAUUACAUAAAGUUCAAAGAUUAGUCCUAACGUUAGAACUCUUAAAAACCUGUUAUGAGUAAGUUUUUUUUUUUCUUUUUUUUUUUAAUUUUAUUUUUUAUUUUAUUUAAUAUUUCUAUAGGUACUAAGACUUUUAUCUGUGUCAUUUAAGAAUGUCGUCUUUUGAUAUAACAUCUGAAUAAUGUCAUUUUAGAAUAUUACUGUGUCUUUUCCCCAUAUCCCUUUGUAACUGAUGUCACCUUUUCAGCAUGUUUUAUUUAUUUUAAGCAAGACACAUUUACCUCUCUCUUAAUGAACAUCUAAUGGGGUCAGCCUGAGAACCUAUUAAUUCUGUCAGCUCAGAUUUCACCUUUUUCAAAAGAGUAUAGAAACAAAGUACAUUUGGAUUUUAUCUGAAAACUUGACAACAUUAGGUCAAUCUUCAGCUGGUUCUGGGACAAUUUAUUGUGAACUUUCUACACUGAAUUUAUACUGUCUUGUACAUAGUUUAUUCACCCCUGAUGGACUGGCAUUGCAUCUAGGGUGUAUGUCCGGUAUUCUAGGAUAGGCUCAACACAACCACUGUUAUACAAUGAACAAGCAAUUAUGAACAAUGGCUAGAUGGAUGUUUUUAUUCAAAUUAAAGUCAUACAUUGGAAAUUUGCAUUUUAUGCAAAACUCCUGCGAUUCUGGCCAUUAUUAAGUGUAUUUUUCACUAAAACAGAGUUGGAUUACUUGAGAAUUAGUCUCAUACUGAAUGUUUAAUUUGAUGUAAAUUAUAAAUCACAUAUUUCUCAACAGGAAAAGGGCAUUCAUUUGAAGCAGACAGUUUAUAAAUAAUUAGAUUUUUUUAAAUAUAGGUAACACUCAAAGUGUUUGGUUUAGGUUUAAAUGAGCUAAGUGUAAUGAGUUUUAAAUAUAAAAACUGUACAUGGAUUUGGCUUAACUAGUACACAUUCAUGAAGAGUGUACUGAGAAUUUAAAAUUUUGUUCUGAUACUUUCUAACAUAAAUUAGUGCACAUUAUUAACCAUAAUUUAAAUUUGUAUGCUGGCAAUCAGAUGUAACAGAAAAGCAGUUGUUAAUAUUAUAUUCAGGUCUGUGUGUGUAUGUGUGUGGCUAACCUGUAAUUGAGUGGCAUCCUAUCCAGGUUUUACCCUGCCUUGCUGAGCACCCUAUGCUUCCAAGUCUUUGACCCCAUGGUUACUGACAGUGAGUGAGUGAGACAGCUAAAUGUAAACUAACACAAUGCAUAAUGUAUUUCCAAUGCAUAGAUACUUGUUGGUAGUAAAGUAAGGUGCAUUUCUUUUUAUUUGCUAUAUCCUCAUGUGUUUCUAUACCUGACAGAAUGAUAGGAAGUUACAAAAUGAGCAAUUAAUAUUUUGUGGAGUAUUCAUUGGAUUAAAGAGAGUAAAUGGUGCUAAAUAUGUCCCAUUUUAUUAACGCUAUACGUCCAUGUGUUUCGAAAACAUUGAAAUUAUGAAAUGUACUAUUUCAAAUUUGUGGACACUUAACAACUCAUUUUAAGAAAUUUUUAAUAAGUGUAAAUAUAUAGAUAUUAUGGUCACAAACUGCAUGUUUCUACAGAGAAUAUCAAAAGAAAAAUACUUUCAGAUUGCAAGAAUGGAAAAGGGUUAAAAACUGUCAUUUAAAUUACAGUUUAUUUCCCAGAUAUAAACAUUGCAUUUUGUGGGAUUAAGUAUUGAGUGCUGCAUGAAAAAGAAUGUGGAUUAUUAUUAAUUCCUCGAUUUAAACAAAACUAACUCAUCCCAAAAUUACAGGGCUUUUUUUUCCCAUAAGAACACAUGUUAAAGAUGAAACUUAUAUCAUGGAAAAAUUAACAGUUCAAAUUUGACGAGCAUGAGACAAAUAAAAA